CUCCGUUUACGCUCCCCACUGACAUCUCCAGAGAAAACACCACUAGCUUCAGCCGUGAAUGUACAUUUCGUGGUGGGGAUUUAAAUCGUAUGAAGAACAACAUUAUUUGAAGAUCAAGAAAGGCAUUCGACCGCGCCUAUCUCGGAUCAACCAACAUCGUCUAAAAAGGGAUACAAAUAAAGCCGUUUUUGGAGUGUUGACUGACAGUGACGCGCAACACCGGCAGAGGGGAGAGCUGACAGGAAAUACCCAUCGCUGCUGAUGGUGUACGAACGACAGUAGAGGACUACUCGUACACCCUCCGCUUUCCGUUUUACCUACGCCCCAAACCAAGCGGUUCAUGCGAAAGAAGAUACUCUCUAGAACAGGCCGAUUAGGAAGAUAGCAAGGAGUGGCGGCCAGGCGAGAGGGAGGCUACGGCAAACCAUCUCUCCCAGAUAUACCUCCAUUACGCCCACCUACCACCGCCUCCUUCAGCCAUGGAUCCGCCGAGGACUCGGUCACGUUCAGGUUUCUUUCAUUAUGGCAUGAACGGUGGUGGCAACGGCAAUAACACAAUCAACAAUGGGAACAUGAUGAAUGCCAGCGGAGGGAUCGGGGUGAAUUACCCUCAACAGAACAACCCCGGCUGGGUUCCGCACGGAGCGCGCGGUAGCUAUUCGGAGAACCAGCACACCCAGGGGAACUACCUGUCCGGUGGGGCCCAACGCCACCCUUCCCACGGAGCACACAGACACCCCGGCACCGGUGUCCUGCACUUCCACCCUGAUAACAUCUGCAGUGAUGAGCGGGACAAGGUGAGGAUAUUAACCUCUCCCUGUUGUACCAACACAGCAGUAGGAAUGCUGUAGCCUUAUUUAACACCAUGCUGUCUUUCUACUCCCUUAUCUCUCUCGC
Molecule: long non-coding RNA, 897 nt
Organism: Oncorhynchus tshawytscha (Chinook salmon)
Lineage: Eukaryota; Metazoa; Chordata; Actinopteri; Salmoniformes; Salmonidae
Source: Ensembl